This is a long non-coding RNA of Lotus japonicus, 1901 nucleotides long. RefSeq lists it as uncharacterized. NCBI's taxonomy places the organism in Eukaryota, Viridiplantae, Streptophyta, Magnoliopsida, Fabales, Fabaceae. The transcript is spliced from 3 exons. The record is from RefSeq and is a predicted model, not a curated record.
CCUAACCCUCAAUCACUCACUGGAAGCAAUUCGUGAAAGCCAGCACCACUGCCCCACGCACAAACGUAACACUCCACCGUUCCUUUUCUUCUCUCAGAUCGACAAACUCUUGGCUGUCGUCUCCAUCCCUUUCCGUCAGCGAAGCUGUCUGCGUCCUCUCCAUCCCUCACCGUCAACGAACCCUUGUGUCGUCCUUUCAAACCCUCUCGCAAACCUUCCUUGUGCCGUCGAUCGUGGACGAGUUUUGAAGGCAAUGGAAGGUGUUAUGUUCUCUUUCUCUCUCCUUGGGCGACGACUGAUGAGGUUCGGAGUCAACCGAUCUUCACCGCUCACCGGAGGUUAUGGCUGUUCUGGUCGAGGUUAGGAAGUACAAGUAACUUCUUUAUCCCUUUCAGUGUUAUUAUACUUGGUCAAUUUGGUCUUAGCUGAUGUUGGAACAUGGUAAAGUAGUUAGAAAAUUGAAUUUAGGUUUCUCUACCGCUACAAUUCAUUUAUUAUUAGAUUGCAAUGCUUAGUUUUGUUAAGCUUCGACCGCUCAAAAACUUCUUUUUGGGGAGAGUUGUAGUUGUUGGGAGAGAUUCAACAAGGACUUCUCAAAGUCUGAAGAUUUUGUCAUUUAAUCAGAAUAUCACUAAUGCCAUCUAUGUUAGUCCUAAUAUUAACAACAUCAUGUGGUUGAACUUUAAAUUAAUAUUGAUGUUGAUCUUUGAGUUAAUAUUUACUCUUACAGAAUAUGAUAUAUCGGGUCACAUAGUGGGUGAACGAGAAUAUUGCCCCUCUAGUGACAUCUAUAUGAAUUGAAGUUCCAAUUCAGUUAUAUAUCCUCAGUGUAUUUGAAAAUUAUUAAAUGUUUGAUACAUAUGACUUUCUUUUCUAACUAUACAUUUUAAAGAGGGGAAAUUUGUUGUACUAUAUUUCAAUAAAUAAAAGUAUGACUUAAUAGAAAAGUAUGACCACUAUUUAAUUUACUGCAUGCUCUUUACUUAUUUCUUAUGUUCUAGAAAACAGCCACAAGUGUUUGGGGUCUAGCAGCACGUUGGCUAGCAGAUUAGGAAAUCAUACCUUUUGAUUAUGUAUCAUAUGCUAAGAAGCUCUAGAUGUGCCCACCUUAGAUGCAGAUUUAAUCAAAUAAUUGUAGUUUUAUACAAAAUCUAUUCUCACUGAGACCAUGAAAUUCUUACUACACAAAAUAUCUCAAUAGCAGCUUAGCAUUGAGGUACUGGAAACUUAGAUUUCAAACAAGCAGCAUUCAUGAUAUAGAACCAGAGAAAAGGUAUGUAAUAAUUCUUAAAUAACUUUUUGGCAAGGAUGAGAAAUGCAAAACAGUGAAAUAUGAUUUUUCAGGAAUUAGAAGCAAGUAAAGGAUUGACAACAAGGAAUGAGGACCAUUUGUAAGUGAGAGAGCUGAAUGAUGGCUGAGUAUGCAUUCACUGACAGAACUGGCCUCUUUGGAAUGUCAUGGUAUAAGCAUCUGAUACCGGAGAGCUGACCUUUAAUAUGUUUUGACAACUUAGUGUGGGGAGCUUCUUUGUAGCUUGCCAUGCCUACAUCAGAUUUAUCAGACUAUACUGGUUUGUUGCAAUUGAAGCUGGAAUGACUCCAAAUAUUUUCUAUUGUCUCAAGAUUUUGAAGCCUCCGCAUAUCCACUUUUCCUAGCUUAGGAUUUGGACAUAAAGAAGGGCAUAUACUUAUCCAUUUGUUUUUGCAAUUUUAACCCAUGUUCAAAAUUUUAUCCUAUUUUCUAUGUUAUUUUAUAGAGUAACCCCCCAGAUACUUGUUGGUAUGACUUGUUAUAGAAUGAUAUGUGAUUUAAGUAGGCUAAAUAAUUAUUUGGCCUUCUUCCUGAACAUGUUAAGUUCUUCAGAAUGUCCUUUAUUUGAGUUCAUGAUUUACUUUUGAUU